UACGUAGGGUCCGAGCGUUAAUCGGAAUUACUGGGCGUAAAGCGUGCGCAGGCGGUUUUGUAAGCCAGAUGUGAAAGCCCCGGGCUCAACCUGGGAAUGGCAUUUGGGACUGCAAGGCUGGAGUACGGCAGAGGGAGGUGGAAUUCCAGGUGUAGCAGUGAAAUGCGUAGAGAUCUGGAGGAACACCGAUGGCGAAGGCAGCCUCCUGGGCUAGUACUGACGCUCAUGCACGAAAGCGUGGGGAGCAAACAGG
This 253-nucleotide ribosomal RNA is filed under the name uncultured bacterium. RNAcentral describes it as "partial 16S ribosomal RNA". It matches the Rfam family "Bacterial small subunit ribosomal RNA", at positions 524 to 776 of the family's 1533-position model. The record is from RNAcentral.